UAUUAACUCAGUUGGUUGAGCGUGGUACUAAUAAUGCCAGCGUGACAGGUUCGACCCCUGUAUGGACAA
Molecule: transfer RNA, 69 nt
Filed under: Sphaerobolus stellatus SS14
Lineage: Eukaryota; Fungi; Basidiomycota; Agaricomycetes; Geastrales; Sphaerobolaceae
Description: tRNA-Ile (AAT) (tRNA-Ile-AAT-56-1)
Source: RNAcentral